Long non-coding RNA from Amblyraja radiata (thorny skate), 215 nucleotides. RefSeq lists it as uncharacterized. The record is from RefSeq and is a predicted model, not a curated record. NCBI's taxonomy places the organism in Eukaryota, Metazoa, Chordata, Chondrichthyes, Rajiformes, Rajidae. The transcript has 2 exons.
UUGUAGGUACUGAUUUGCCUCAUUAUUUACCCAAGAUCUGGAUACAGGUUUACUUUCGAAUAUAUAUUGCACCCUGCUAGGUGGGUUUCCUUUGAAAGGAAAAAGCUGAAAAUAGUAAAUUACAGGGCAAGAUGAAAGAAGAAUUCAAGCCAAACCAGACCCAGGAUAUCACCAAUAAUGGUUUCUCCAAAGUUGGCUAUGACAAUCCUGGAUAC